AGUUAAUUAGCUUAAGAAAAGCAUGUAUUUUGAAAAUACAAAAGAAAGGUUCAAUUCCUUUAUUAACUU
This 69-nucleotide transfer RNA is filed under the name Peirates turpis. RNAcentral's name for it is "tRNA-Ser". It matches the Rfam family "tRNA". From Rfam's summary of the family: Transfer RNA (tRNA) molecules are approximately 80 nucleotides in length. Their secondary structure includes four short double-helical elements and three loops (D, anti-codon, and T loops). The record is from RNAcentral. Lineage: Eukaryota; Metazoa; Arthropoda; Insecta; Hemiptera; Reduviidae. RNAcentral also lists the same sequence under 3 other names.